RNAcentral lists this ribosomal RNA (468 nucleotides) under uncultured bacterium. RNAcentral describes it as "partial 16S ribosomal RNA". It matches the Rfam family "Bacterial small subunit ribosomal RNA", at positions 28 to 507 of the family's 1533-position model. The record is from RNAcentral.
GACGAACGCUGGCGGCGUGCUUAACACAUGCAAGUCGAACGGAAAGGCCCUGCUUUUGUGGGGUGCUCGAGUGGCGAACGGGUGAGUAACACGUGAGUAACCUGCCCUUGACUUUGGGAUAACUUCAGGAAACUGGGGCUAAUACCGGAUAGGAGCUCCUGCUGCAUGGUGGGGGUUGGAAAGUUUCGGCGGUUGGGGAUGGACUCGCGGCUUAUCAGCUUGUUGGUGGGGUAGUGGCUUACCAAGGCUUUGACGGGUAGCCGGCCUGAGAGGGUGACCGGCCACAUUGGGACUGAGAUACGGCCCAGACGCCUACGGGAGGCAGCAGUGGGGAAUAUGGCACAAUGGGCGGAAGCCUGAUGCAGCAACGCCGCGUGCGUGAUGACGGCCUUCGGGUUGUAAACCGCUUUCGCCUGUGACGAAGCGUGAGUGACGGUAAUGGGUAAAGAAGCACCGGCUAACUACGUG